UACGAGGUGAGAAGUAAUCACAGGUCUGCUUUUGGGGUCGAAACAAGGACAGACUCCCGAAAGCUACCUCAAUAA
This 75-nucleotide small RNA is filed under the name Stanieria cyanosphaera PCC 7437. Its description in RNAcentral is "Cyano-1 RNA". It matches the Rfam family "Cyano-1 RNA". Lineage: Bacteria; Bacillati; Cyanobacteriota; Cyanophyceae; Pleurocapsales; Dermocarpellaceae. The record is from Rfam by way of RNAcentral.